GUUUUCAUGGUGAUGGUGACUAUGAGGAAAUAAAGGACUGCUCCCUACAGUCCAGCAUCUACGCCAACUUACCCACAAGCCCCUCUGACUCUCUCAACUCCUCUAGCGUCAACUUCCACAAGAACCCCAGCUACCCCAAUGAAGCCACUGUCGCCAUCGCGAAAGAGGGCACUUCUUCUGGUGACUAAGCCACUGUCAACAUUGGUCAAAGCCCUGAGGCUCCUCCCAUCUACUAUACAGUGUGCUGGAGCCAGAGUGGAUCCUCACCAGCUGCAACCCGUUCCAUUAUCAAGACCUCUACAAAUACUCAGUCCUGCCACUUCCACUCUGCCGGAUCGCAUUCUCCGUUCAUUUUACUCCUCUGACUCCUGUCUCCUGUUCCACAUCUCAC
This 391-nucleotide long non-coding RNA is filed under the name Salmo salar (Atlantic salmon). Its description in RNAcentral is "lncRNA (ENSSSAG00000098936.1)". Lineage: Eukaryota; Metazoa; Chordata; Actinopteri; Salmoniformes; Salmonidae. The record is from RNAcentral.